RNAcentral lists this ribosomal RNA (506 nucleotides) under uncultured bacterium. RNAcentral describes it as "partial 16S ribosomal RNA". It matches the Rfam family "Bacterial small subunit ribosomal RNA", at positions 29 to 523 of the family's 1533-position model. The record is from RNAcentral.
AGUGAACGCUGGCGGUAGGCCUAACACAUGCAAGUCGAACGGCAGCACAGGAGAGCUUGCUCUCUGGGUGGCGAGUGGCGGACGGGUGAGGAAUACAUCGGAAUCUACUCUGUCGUGGGGGAUAACGUAGGGAAACUUACGCUAAUACCGCAUACGACCUACGGGUGAAAGCAGGGGACCUUCGGGCCUUGCGCGAUUGAAUGAGCCGAUGUCGGAGUAGCUAGUUGGCGGGGUAAAGGCCCACCAAGGCGACGACCCGUAGCUGGUCUGAGAGGAUGAUCAGCCACACUGGAACUGAGACACGGUCCAGACUCCUACGGGAGGCAGCAGUGGGGAAUAUUGGACAAUGGGCGCAAGCCUGAUCCAGCCAUACCGCGUGGGUGAAGAAGGCCUUCGGGUUGUAAAGCCCUUUUGUUGGGAAAGAAAUCCAGCUGGCUAAUACCCGGUUGGGAUGACGGUACCCAAAGAAUAAGCACCGGCUAACUUCGUGCCAGCAGCCGCGGUAA